This 196-nucleotide unclassified non-coding RNA is filed under the name uncultured fungus. Its description in RNAcentral is "sequence contains ITS1". Lineage: Eukaryota; Fungi. The record is from RNAcentral.
UUGACUUAUUCAGUACAGAAGACUCAGAGAGGCCAUAAAGUAUCAAGAGUUAGGUGACCUCCGGCGGGCGCCCGCGGUGGGGCCCAGGGGCGCGCAGGGGCGCCGCCCGCCGAAGCAACGGUUUGGGUAACGUUCACGAUGGUUUAGGGAGUUUUGCAACUCUGUAAUGAUCCCUCCGCUGGUUCACCAACGGAGA